This 293-nucleotide unclassified non-coding RNA is filed under the name uncultured Pirellulaceae bacterium. RNAcentral's name for it is "contains 16S-23S intergenic spacer region". Lineage: Bacteria; Pseudomonadati; Planctomycetota; Planctomycetia; Pirellulales; Pirellulaceae. The record is from RNAcentral.
GGACUACUAGGGUUUCUAAUCCCGUUCGCUACCCUAGCUUUCGUUCCUCAGCGUCAGAAAAGACCCAGUAAGCCGCCUUCGCCACCGGUGUUCCAGAUGAUAUCAAUGCAUUUCACCGCUCCACCAUCUGUUCCGCUUACCCCUAUCUCCCUCAAGCCCUGUGGUUUGAAACGCAGUUCCUCGGUUAAGCCGAGGGCUUUCACAUCUCACCUACAGAGCCGCCUACGAACUCUUUAAGCCCAGUAAUACCGAAUAACGUUUGGGGAGCUCGUCUUACCGCGGCGGCUGGCACU